RNAcentral lists this ribosomal RNA (549 nucleotides) under uncultured Glomeromycotina. Its description in RNAcentral is "SSU rRNA". It matches the Rfam family "Eukaryotic small subunit ribosomal RNA", at positions 548 to 1098 of the family's 1831-position model. The record is from RNAcentral. Lineage: Eukaryota; Fungi; Glomeromycota.
UUGGAGGGCAAGUCUGGUGCCAGCAGCCGCGGUAAUUCCAGCUCCAAUAGCGUAUAUUAAAGUUGUUGCAGUUAAAAAGCUCGUAGUUGAAUUUCGGGGUCAGUAGGUCGGUCGUGCCACUGGUAUGAACUGGUUUUACUGAUUCCUCCCUCUUGAAGAACUGUAAUGCCAUUAAUUUGGUGUUGCAGGGAAUCAGGACUGUUACUUUGAAAAAAUUAGAGUGUUUAAAGCAGGCUUUAGCUCGAAUACAUUAGCAUGGAAUAAUGAAAUAGGACGUUUGAUCCUAUUUUGUUGGUUUCUAGGAUUGACGUAAUGAUUAAUAGGGAUAGUUGGAGGCAUUAGUAUUCAAUUGUCAGAGGUGAAAUUCUUGGAUUUAUUGAAGACUAACUACUGCGAAAGCAUUUGCCAAGGAUGUUUUCAUUAAUCAAGAACGAAAGUUAGGGGAUCGAAGACGAUCAGAUACCGUCGUAGUCUUAACCAUAAACUAUGCCGACUAGGGAUCGGAUGAUGUUAAUUUUUUAAUGACUCAUUCGGCGCCUUACGGGAAAC